RNAcentral lists this ribosomal RNA (378 nucleotides) under Alternaria alternata. RNAcentral's name for it is "SSU rRNA". It matches the Rfam family "Eukaryotic small subunit ribosomal RNA", at positions 1456 to 1831 of the family's 1831-position model. RNAcentral also lists the same sequence under 17 other names. Lineage: Eukaryota; Fungi; Ascomycota; Dothideomycetes; Pleosporales; Pleosporaceae. The record is from RNAcentral.
ACAGGUCUGUGAUGCCCUUAGAUGUUCUGGGCCGCACGCGCGCUACACUGACAGAGCCAACGAGUUCUUUUCCUUGUUCGAAAGAAUUGGGUAAUCUUGUUAAACUCUGUCGUGCUGGGGAUAAAGCAUUGCAAUUAUUGCUUUUCAACGAGGAAUGCCUAGUAAGCGCGUGUCAUCAGCAUGCGUUGAUUACGUCCCUGACCUUUGUACACACCGCCCGUCGCUACUACCGAUUGAAUGGCUCAGUGAGGCCUUCGGACUGGCUCGAGGAGGUUGGCAACGACCACCUCAAGCCGGAAAGUUCGUCAAACUCGGUCAUUUAGAGGAAGUAAAAGUCGUAACAAGGUCUCCGUAGGUGAACCUGCGGAGGGAUCAUUA